GUAGCCUGCAACCCGGCCUACAUGAAGCUGGAAUCGCUAGUAAUCGCAGAUCAGAAUGCUGCGGUGAAUACGUUCCCGGGUCUUGUACACACCGCCCGUCACACCAUGGGAGCCGGGAAUGCCCGAAGUCGGUGACCCAACCGUAAGGAGGGAGCCGCCGAAGGCAGGCCUGGUAACUGGGUGAAGUCGUAACAAGGUAUC
RNAcentral lists this ribosomal RNA (201 nucleotides) under uncultured bacterium. Its description in RNAcentral is "partial 16S ribosomal RNA". It matches the Rfam family "Bacterial small subunit ribosomal RNA", at positions 1300 to 1500 of the family's 1533-position model. The record is from RNAcentral.